GACGAACGCUGGCGGCGUGCUUAACACAUGCAAGUCGAGCGGAAAGGCCCUUCGGGGUACUCGAGCGGCGAACGGGUGAGUAACACGUGAGUAACCUGCCCUGGACUUUGGGAUAACCCUCGGAAACGGGGGCUAAUACCGGAUAUGACAUACUCUCGCAUGGGAUGUGUGUGGAAAGUUUUUCGGUCUGGGAUGGGCUCGCGGCCUAUCAGCUUGUUGGUGGGGUGAUGGCCUACCAAGGCGACGACGGGUAGCCGGCCUGAGAGGGCGACCGGCCACACUGGGACUGAGACACGGCCCAGACUCCUACGGGAGGCAGCAGUGGGGAAUAUUGCACAAUGGGCGGAAGCCUGAUGCAGCGACGCCGCGUGA
This 372-nucleotide ribosomal RNA is filed under the name uncultured bacterium. RNAcentral describes it as "bacterial SSU rRNA". It matches the Rfam family "Bacterial small subunit ribosomal RNA", at positions 28 to 404 of the family's 1533-position model. The record is from RNAcentral.